Molecule: non-coding RNA, 141 nt
Organism: Hirsutella rhossiliensis
Lineage: Eukaryota; Fungi; Ascomycota; Sordariomycetes; Hypocreales; Ophiocordycipitaceae
Source: the annotation of a RefSeq genome assembly
CUCCGGGUGGUCUAGUUGGUUCAUGGCGUCGGGCGUAAGCAUACCCACUAAAGCGUCUGUACGCACCACACACUAACUGAAUAAUUAGUGUAAUACGAGUUAUUAACCUGAAAGUCGCGUGUUCGAUUCACGCCCUGGAGA